This 126-nucleotide non-coding RNA is filed under the name Sphenodon punctatus (tuatara). RNAcentral describes it as "U4atac minor spliceosomal RNA (ENSSPUG00000017589.1)". It matches the Rfam family "U4atac minor spliceosomal RNA". Rfam says of the family: U4atac is an essential component of the minor U12-type spliceosome complex which is required for removal of the rarer class of eukaryotic introns (AT-AC, U12-type). These interacting stem loops have been shown to be required for in vivo splicing. U4atac also contains an 3' Sm protein binding site which has been shown to be essential for splicing activity. Lineage: Eukaryota; Metazoa; Chordata; Lepidosauria; Sphenodontia; Sphenodontidae. The record is from Rfam by way of RNAcentral.
ACCAUCCUUGUCUUGGGGUUGCGCUACUGUUCAAUGAGCGUGUAGCGAGGACAGUGCUGCUAACACCGACACAACACUGACGCAUCCCUGGGGCUUCAGCCCCAAUGUGGUGCAAUUUUUGGAACC